Vidua chalybeata is the source of this 563-nucleotide long non-coding RNA. RefSeq lists it as uncharacterized. The record is from RefSeq and is a predicted model, not a curated record. Lineage: Eukaryota; Metazoa; Chordata; Aves; Passeriformes; Viduidae. The transcript is spliced from 2 exons.
CACAACUUGGGUGGUGGAUAAAAACCAGCCUCACUCACUUCACAAAUGACACCAGUUUAGAAGGAACAACAGAUAUUGUGGAGAGUGGGGCUUUCUUCAGAGGCACUGCAGUAAGAUGGAAGAUUGACUGAUAUUAAAGCAAUUGAGAAGAACCAUCAAAACAUCAAUGAAUAAAACCUGCACUGGGAUUUGCUGUUCAUCCACUGGAGCCCCAUGGGAGCAAGUCAGAAGAAAACGUCAUGGUGAUUCUGUCUUCCCACCUAAAGAGAGGCUGCAGAGAAGACAAAGCACAGAGAGGAAACCGUCAUGCAUGGCAGCAAAAUAAACCUCUGCUGGAAGUAAGUGAAAACUCAUUGCCAGAAGGGUGGUUAAACACUGGAACAGCCCUCCCAGAGACAUUUGCUCAACCAAUUUGGACAAGGCCUCCCUGGAGUAACUGGACAUAACACUGAGGUGAGAUGAAGCUGAAGUAAGAGGACCUCCUCAUCUAAAAGGUUCUGCUAUUUUUCUGAUGUGCUUUGAAAUACAGAUUGUUGUAUUUUCUGAAAAAUCAGGCCAUAACA